UACGUAGGGGGCAAGCGUUGUCCGGAAUUCUUGGGCGUAAAGAGCUCGUAGGCGGUUUGUCGCGUCGGCCGUGAAAACUUGGGGCUUAACUCCAAGCUUGCGGUCGAUACGGGCAGACUUGAGUUCGGCAGGGGAGACUGGAAUUCCUGGUGUAGCGGUGAAAUGCGCAGAUAUCCGGAGGAACACCGGUGGCGAAGGCGGCUUCCUGGACCGACACUGACGCUGAGGCGCGAAAGCGUGGGGAGCGAACAGG
This 253-nucleotide ribosomal RNA is filed under the name uncultured bacterium. RNAcentral describes it as "partial 16S ribosomal RNA". It matches the Rfam family "Bacterial small subunit ribosomal RNA", at positions 524 to 776 of the family's 1533-position model. The record is from RNAcentral.